GAUGAACGCUAGCGACAGGCUUAACACAUGCAAGUCGCGGGGCAGCAUGGGGGUUGCUUGCAACCCCUGAUGGCGACCGGCGCACGGGUGAGUAACGCGUAACCAACCUGCCCUUCACCACGGGAUAACCCGGCGAAAGUCGGAUUAAUACCGAAUGUUGUCCAUUGACGGCAUCCGAUUUGGACGAAAGGUUGGGGGGUGAAAGGACGGGGCUGCGUCCGAUUAGCUUGACGGCAGGGUAACGGCCCACCGUGGCUACGAUCGGUAGGGGGGCUGAGAGGCAGGUACCCCGCACUGGAGCUGAGCCCCAGACCCGACUGCUACGCAGGGCAGCAGAGUGUUAUAUUAGUCACUGAGCGUAAACCUGAACCAGCCACGUAGCGUGCAAGAGGACGGCCCUAUGAGUUGUAUACUGCUUUUAUGCGGGGAUAAAGUGGCCAACGUGUGGGCUUUUGCCGGUACCGAAUGAAUAAGGACCGGCUAAUUCCGUG
This 491-nucleotide ribosomal RNA is filed under the name uncultured bacterium. RNAcentral's name for it is "partial 16S ribosomal RNA". It matches the Rfam family "Bacterial small subunit ribosomal RNA", at positions 28 to 507 of the family's 1533-position model. The record is from RNAcentral.